CUACGUGCCAGCAGCCGCGGUAAUACGCAGGGGGCAAGCGUUAUCCGGAUUUACUGGGUGUAAAGGGAGCGUAGACGGCGAAGCAAGUCUGGUGUGAAACCCCGGGGCUCAACCUCGGGCCUGCAUUGGAAACUGUUUUGCUUGAGUGCCGGAGAGGUAAGCGGAAUUCCUAGUGUAGCGGUGAAAUGCGUAGAUAUUAGGAGGAACACCAGUGGCGAAGGCGGCUUACUGGACGGCAACUGACGUUGAGGCUCGAAAGCGUGGGGAGCA
Molecule: ribosomal RNA, 270 nt
Filed under: uncultured bacterium
Lineage: Bacteria
Description: partial 16S ribosomal RNA
Rfam family: Bacterial small subunit ribosomal RNA
Source: RNAcentral